CCUACGGGAGGCAGCAGUGAGGAAUAUUGGUCAAUGGGCGCUAGCCUGAACCAGCCAAGUAGCGUGAAGGAUGACUGCCCUAUGGGUUGUAAACUUCUUUUAUAUGGGAAUAAAGUGCAGUAUGUAUACUGCUUUGCAUGUACCUUAGGAAUAAGGAUCGGCUAACUCCGUGCCAGCAGCCGCGGUAAUGCGGAGGAUUCGAGCGUUAUCCGGAUUUAUUGGGUUUAAAGGGAGCGUAGGCGGGUUGUUAAGUCAGUUGUGAAAGUUUGCGGCUCAACCGUAAAAUUGCAGUUGAUACUGGCAUCCUUGAGUACAGUAGAGGUAGGUGGAAUUCGUGGUGUAGCGGUGAAAUGCUUAGAUAUCACGAAGAACCCCGAUGGCGAAGGCAGCUUACUAGACUGUGACUGACAUUGAUGCUCGAAAGUGUGGGUAUCAAACAGGAUUAGAUAACCGUGUAGUC
Molecule: ribosomal RNA, 460 nt
Filed under: uncultured bacterium
Lineage: Bacteria
Description: partial 16S ribosomal RNA
Rfam family: Bacterial small subunit ribosomal RNA
Source: RNAcentral